This 809-nucleotide ribosomal RNA is filed under the name uncultured bacterium. RNAcentral describes it as "bacterial SSU rRNA". It matches the Rfam family "Bacterial small subunit ribosomal RNA", at positions 8 to 796 of the family's 1533-position model. The record is from RNAcentral.
AGAGUUUGAUCCUGGCUCAGAAUCAACGCUGGCGGCGUGCCUCAGACAUGCAAGUCGAACGCGAAAGGCUCCUUCGGGGGCCGAGUAGAGUGGCGUCCGGGUGAGUAACACGUAGGUAAUCUACCUUCGGGUGGGGAAUAACAGCCGGAAACGGCUGCUAAUACCGCAUAAUGCAGCGGCACCACAUGGUGACAGUUGUUAAAGCGGGGGAUCGCAAGACCUCGCGCCUGAAGAGGAGCCUGCGGCGGAUUAGCUAGUUGGUGGGGUAACGGCCUACCAAGGCAACGAUCCGUAGCCGGCCUGAGAGGGCGGUCGGCCACACUGGCACUGACACACGGGCCAGACUCCUACGGGAGGCAGCAGUCGGGAAUUUUGGGCAAUGGGCGCAAGCCUGACCCAGCAACGCCGCGUGAAGGAUGAAGCUUCUCGGAGUGUAAACUUCAUAAGAAUGGGACGAAUAAACGUGGGCUAACAUCCCAUGUGAUGACGGUACCAUUUGUAAGCUCCGGCUAACUCCGUGCCAGCAGCCGCGGUAAUACGGGGGGAGCAAGCGUUGUUCGGAUUUACUGGGCGUAAAGGGCGCGUAGGCGGCGCAACAAGUCACUUGUGAAAUCUCCGGGCUUAACCCGGAGCGGCCAAGUGAUACUGUCGUGCUAGAGUGCGGAAGGGGCUACUGGAAUUCUCGGUGUAGCGGUGAAAUGCGUAGAUAUCGAGAGGAACACCUGCGGCGAAGGCGGGUAGCUGGGCCGACACUGACGCUGAUGCGCGAAAGCCAGGGGAGCGAACGGGAUUAGAUACCCCGGUAGUCC